GACGAACGCUGGCGGCGUGCUUAACACAUGCAAGUCGAACGGAAAGGCCCAGCUUUUGUGGGGUGCUCGAGUGGCGAACGGGUGAGUAACACGUGAGUAACCUGCCCUUGACUUUGGGAUAACUUCAGGAAACUGGGGCUAAUACCGGAUAGGAGCUCCUGCUGCAUGGUGGGGGUUGGAAAGUUUCGGCGGUUGGGGAUGGACUCGCGGCUUAUCAGCUUGUUGGUGGGGUAGUGGCUUACCAAGGCUUUGACGGGUAGCCGGCCUGAGAGGGUGACCGGCCACAAUGGGACUGAGAUACGGCCCAGACUCCUACGGGAGGCAGCAGUGGGGAAUAUUGCACAAUGGGCGGAAGCCUGAUGCAGCAACGCCGCGUGCGGGAUGACGGCCUUCGGGUUGUAAACCGCUUUCGCCUGUGACGAAGCGUGAGUGACGGUAAUGGGUAAAGAAGCACCGGCUAACUACGUG
This 468-nucleotide ribosomal RNA is filed under the name uncultured bacterium. Its description in RNAcentral is "partial 16S ribosomal RNA". It matches the Rfam family "Bacterial small subunit ribosomal RNA", at positions 28 to 507 of the family's 1533-position model. The record is from RNAcentral.